CGCAGCCGCGGUAAUUCCAGCUCCAAUAGCGUAUAUUAAAGUUGUUGCAGUUAAAAAGCUCGUAGUUGAAUUUCGGGAUCAGUUUGUUGGUCGUGCUUCGGUACGUACUGUCAUUACUGGUUUCUACCUUCUGAAGAACCUUGAUGUCAUUAAUUUGGUGUCUUGGGGAAUCAGGACUGUUACUUUGAAAAAUUAGAGUGUUUAAAGCAAGCAUACGCUUGAAUACAUUAGCAUGGAAUAAUGAAAUAGGACGUUUGAUUCUAUUUUGUUGGUUUCUAGGAUCGACGUAAUGAUUAAUAGGGAUAGUUGGGGGCAUUAGUAUUCAAUUGUCAGAGGUGAAAUUCUUGGAUUUAUUGAAGACUAACUACUGCGAAAGCAUUUGCCAAGGAUGUUUUCAUUAAUCAAGAACGAAAGUUAGGGGAUCGAAGACGAUCAGAUACCGUCGUAGUCUUAACCGUAAACUAUGCCGACUAGGGAUCGGAUGAUGUAUUUUUAAU
This 497-nucleotide ribosomal RNA is filed under the name uncultured Glomus. RNAcentral describes it as "SSU rRNA". It matches the Rfam family "Eukaryotic small subunit ribosomal RNA", at positions 569 to 1072 of the family's 1831-position model. Lineage: Eukaryota; Fungi; Glomeromycota; Glomeromycetes; Glomerales; Glomeraceae. The record is from RNAcentral.